Molecule: ribosomal RNA, 580 nt
Filed under: Glomeromycotina sp.
Lineage: Eukaryota; Fungi; Glomeromycota
Description: eukaryotic LSU rRNA
Rfam family: Eukaryotic large subunit ribosomal RNA
Source: RNAcentral
CAAAUUUAAAAUCUACCUGGUUUYCAGGUCGAGUUGUAAUUUGAAGAUACGUUUUUGACGUUCCGGGUUGAACUAAAUCCUUUGGGAUAAGGUAUCAUGGAGGGUGAGAAUCCCGUAUAUACCAACCAUAGGGAUGUUAUUUAAUACGUUUCUAAGAGUCGAGUUGUUUGGGAAUGCAGCUCUAAAUGGGUGGUAAAUUUCACCUAAUGCUAAAUAUAAGCGAGAGACCGAUAGYGAACAAGUACAGUGAUGGAAAGAUGAAAAGAACUUUGAAAAGAGAGUUAAAUAGUACGUGAAAUUGUUGAAAGGGAAACGAUUGAAGUCAGUCAUGCCRGUGGGAAUCAACUUAGAGGAAACUCUGAGUGCACUUCUUCGCUUGGCAGGUCAACGUCGAUUUUGGAUGUCAUAAAAUGAUUGGGGGAAGGUAGCUCCUUCGGGAGUGUUAUAGCCCUUGGUAGAUGUGAUGUCUGGGAUCGAGGAUUGCAAUGGAUACCCUUUGGGGCUAGCCGCCUGAUCUCUAAUCGGUAUUGGGUUACGGAUAGCAUGCUGACCGUGAUCUAAUUAUUGGUUAAAAGGUUAG